UGGGGAAUAUUGCACAAUGGAGGGAACUCUGAUGCAGCGACGCCGCGUGAACGAAGAAGGCUUUCGAGUCGUAAAGUUCUUUUAUAUGGGAAGAUAAUGACGGUACCAUAAGAAAAAGCCCCGGCUAACUACGUGCCAGCAGCCGCGGUAAUACGUAUGGGGCUAGCGUUGUCCGGAAUCACUGGGCGUAAAGGGUUCGCAGGCGGAAAUGCAAGUCAGGUGUAAAAGGCAGUAGCUUAACUACUGUAAGCAUUUGAAACUGCAUAUCUUGAGAAGAGUAGAGGUAAGUGGAAUUUUUAGUGUAGCGGUGAAAUGCGUAGAUAUUAAAAAGAAUACCGGUGGCGAAGGCGACUUGCUGGGCACAAUCUGACGCUGAGGAACGAAAGCGUGGGGAGCAAACAGG
RNAcentral lists this ribosomal RNA (403 nucleotides) under Verrucomicrobiota bacterium. Its description in RNAcentral is "Verrucomicrobia bacterium partial 16S ribosomal RNA". It matches the Rfam family "Bacterial small subunit ribosomal RNA", at positions 355 to 776 of the family's 1533-position model. Lineage: Bacteria; Pseudomonadati; Verrucomicrobiota. The record is from RNAcentral.